Molecule: ribosomal RNA, 460 nt
Filed under: uncultured bacterium
Lineage: Bacteria
Description: partial 16S ribosomal RNA
Rfam family: Bacterial small subunit ribosomal RNA
Source: RNAcentral
CCUACGGGAGGCAGCAGUGAGGAAUAUUGGUCAAUGGGCGCGAGCCUGAACCAGCCAAGUCGCGUGAGGGAGGACGGCCCUACGGGUUGUAAAUCUCUUUUGCCGGGGAGCAACGGGCGCCACGUGUGGCGUCACUGAGAGUACCCGGAGUAAAAGCAUCGGCUAACUCCGUGCCAGCAGCCGCGGUAAUACGGAGGUUGCGAGCGUUAUCCGGAUUUAGUGGGUUUAAAGGGUGCGUAGGCGGAUCGUUAAGUCAGUGGUCAAAUUGAGGGGCCCAACCCCUGCCCGCCAUUGAAACUGGCGAUCUUGAGUGGAAGAGAGGUAUGCGGAAUGCGUGGUGUAGCGGUGAAAUGCAUAGAUAUCACGCAGAACCCCGAUGGCGAAGGCAGCAUGCCGGCUUCCGACUGACGCUGAAGCACGAAAGCGUGGGGAUCGAACAGGAUUAGAUACCCCUGUAGUC